GCGUGUGUGAAGAAGGCCUUCGGGUUGUAAAGCACUUUCAGUCGUGAGGAAGGUAGUGUAGUUAAUAGCUGCAUUAUUUGACGUUAGCGACAGAAGAAGCACCGGCUAACUCCGUGCCAGCAGCCGCGGUAAUACGGAGGGUGCGAGCGUUAAUCGGAAUUACUGGGCGUAAAGCGCAUGCAGGUGGUUUGUUAAGUCAGAUGUGAAAGCCCGGGGCUCAACCUCGGAAUUGCAUUUGAAACUGGCAGACUAGAGUACUGUAGAGGGGGGUAGAAUUUCAGGUGUAGCGGUGAAAUGCGUAGAGAUCUGAAGGAAUACCGGUGGCGAAGGCGGCCCCCUGGACAGAUACUGACACUCAGAUGCGAAAGCGUGGGGAGCAAACAGGAUUAGAUACCCUGGUAGUCCACGCCGUAAACGAUGUCUACUUGGAGGUUGUGGCCUUGAGCCGUGGCUUUCGGAGCUAACGCGUUAAGUAGACCGCCUGGGGAGUACGGUCGCAAGAUUAAAACUCAAUGAAUUGACGGGGGCCCGCACAAGCGGUGGGAGCAUGUGGUUUAAUUCGAUGCAACGCGAAGAACCUUACCUACUCUUGACAUCCAGGGAACUUUCCAGAGAUGGAUUGGUGCCUUCGGGAACUCUGAGACAGGUGCUGCAUGGCUGUCGUCAGCUCGUGUUGUGAAAUGUUGGGUUAAGUCCCGCAAACGAGCGCAACCCUUUAUCCUUGUUUGCCAGCGAGUAAUGUCGGAAACUCCAGGGGGAGACUGCCGGGUGAUAAACCGUGA
This 782-nucleotide ribosomal RNA is filed under the name Vibrio parahaemolyticus. RNAcentral describes it as "bacterial SSU rRNA". It matches the Rfam family "Bacterial small subunit ribosomal RNA", at positions 399 to 1167 of the family's 1533-position model. The record is from RNAcentral. Lineage: Bacteria; Pseudomonadati; Pseudomonadota; Gammaproteobacteria; Vibrionales; Vibrionaceae.